This 440-nucleotide ribosomal RNA is filed under the name uncultured bacterium. RNAcentral's name for it is "partial 16S ribosomal RNA". It matches the Rfam family "Bacterial small subunit ribosomal RNA", at positions 338 to 795 of the family's 1533-position model. The record is from RNAcentral.
CCUACGGGGGGCAGCAGUGGGGAAUAUUGCACAAUGGGGGAAACCCUGAUGCAGCGACGCCGCGUGCGUGAAGAAGUAAUUCGGUAUGUAAAGCUCUAUCAGCAGGGAAGAAAAUGACGGUACCUGAGUAAGAAGCCCCGGCUAAAUACGUGCCAGCAGCCGCGGUAAUACGUAGGGGGCAAGCGUUAUCCGGAUUUACUGGGUGUAAAGGGAGCGUAGACGGCAGAGCAAGUCUGGAGUGAAAGGCGGGGGCUUAACCCCCGCACUGCUGUGGAAACUGGACGGCUGGAGUGCAGGAGAGGUAAGUGGAAUUCGUAGUGUAGCGGUGAAAUGCGUAGAUAUUAGGAGGAACACCAGUGGCGAAGGCGGCUUACUGGACUGUAACUGACGCUGAGGCUCGAAAGCGUGGGGAGCAAACAGGAUUAGAUACCCGAGUAGUC